GCAAAGGAAAUUUGUGCUUAGACUAUUGUUAGUUGCACGAAAAGAUUGAGUUCGGUCGAGCAGAAUCCUUUGUAGAAUUAGAUUUUCGUAAGCCAAAAUUUAUGAAGUCACUGAUUCUUAGCAGUUUUACACGAUUCUGCUGCCUCAUUAGUUAUUAAACAAAGCUAAAUUCCAAGAAUCGCAGUCAAGAAUAUUGAACAAUGAGAUAACUCUUGAUUCAGUAAUUUUGAGUUAUUUAAACCGCCAGUUGGUGUUAUAAAUAUAAAGCUUAAAGAAUAUUGAUCGUAAAGCUAAAAAUACUAACAAAUUAUGUGCCAGAAGUUUCGGUAAGACAUAAAGUAUUAACAUUGUGUGAUGUUAUUUGGUGUAAAAUGCGUUUAGAUUAAAGAAGUUUACAUUUCAUAAAUUUUAGUUAAUUAACUAUAGAUGAAAAUUGACGCUUUUUUUUGAGUACCUUAAAAAGCACAUGGAACGCGUUAUGUAAAGAUAGAAUUUUUUGAUAUAACGCAGAAUAUCGUGCGCGAAAGCAGUGUGCAAAAGGAAUUUGUUGUGUUUAAUACCCCUACAUACUAACAUUUAAUCGCGAAAGUCUAAGUAGCAAAAAGGAUUUGUAACCCUUGUAGUUUAGACCGUCAACGAUGAUUGCUCUUUUACAAAAGUGAAAGUAAUUAACGUGAAAAGCAAUCUACCUGAAUAGUAUUUUCGCAAGAAUGAAACUCAAAGGAUUAGGCGUUAAGAAAAACCAUUUGUGGAUCAUGUUACUUAAUUCGAUAAUACGCGCAAACCUUACUGAUUUUUGAAUGGAAACAAGAUUAAGAGCGUUUUCUUAAAAUUUUCGUUUAUCACAAAUGUUGCAUGGUUGUCGUCAGUUCUUAUUUCACGAUGUUUGAUUAAUUUCAAAAAAGAACGUAACACUUAUUAUUUGUUAUACACCACUUACAAAUAAAAUUGCUUCUAAAAAACAAGCUGAAAGUGAGUAAAACGUCUAAAUCCUUAUGGCUUAAACAAAUCAGGCUGUAAAAUGUGAUACAUUGAAAGAAAACAGCGAGUCGUCACGUUUUCCCACGGAACAAAUCUCCAAACUCUUUCCUGGUUCGAAUUAAAGUUUGAAACUUAGCUUUAUGAAGCCGGAAUAAAUAGUAACGACUUAAAAGAACGGGGUCGUGAAAAUUAGAACUUCUUAUGCACUUAUUGCCCGUCAUUUCGAGGAAGUCCAUUCACGCUG
RNAcentral lists this ribosomal RNA (1225 nucleotides) under Prymnesium polylepis. Its description in RNAcentral is "partial Bacterial small subunit ribosomal RNA". It matches the Rfam family "Bacterial small subunit ribosomal RNA", at positions 166 to 1423 of the family's 1533-position model. Lineage: Eukaryota; Haptophyta; Prymnesiales; Prymnesiaceae. The record is from RNAcentral.